Molecule: transfer RNA, 73 nt
Filed under: Paramuricea clavata
Lineage: Eukaryota; Metazoa; Cnidaria; Anthozoa; Malacalcyonacea; Plexauridae
Rfam family: tRNA
About the family: Transfer RNA (tRNA) molecules are approximately 80 nucleotides in length. Their secondary structure includes four short double-helical elements and three loops (D, anti-codon, and T loops).
Source: Rfam by way of RNAcentral
GACCGCGUAGCUCAGUUGGCAGAGCAUUGGACUAGUAUUCCAAAGGUCGUAGGUUCGAUUCCCACCGUGGACA